This 2139-nucleotide long non-coding RNA is filed under the name Salmo salar (Atlantic salmon). Its description in RNAcentral is "lncRNA (ENSSSAG00000100251.1)". Lineage: Eukaryota; Metazoa; Chordata; Actinopteri; Salmoniformes; Salmonidae. The record is from RNAcentral.
GUUCAAUGGAAAGUUUUUAAACAUGGUUUCCAUUGAACAUGCCAUACAAAUGAAGGGAUUUUAAUGAAUGAUAUGAAGAGUUCCGUGGUCCUCCUUACUUUUUGACAUACUGUAUAUAGUCCGGACUGAAACUAUUUUCAGGCGUCGUCUAAAAUGGCACCCUAUACCCUAUUUAUUUAUUUGUACCAGGGCCCAUAGUUAUAUGGUCAAAGGGCUCUGGUUAAUAGUAGUGCACUAAAUAGGGAAUAGGGAAUUUAGGACUCAUUUGAUUACAUGAUGAUGGCUAGUAAUUCCACUAUUAACAACAACAAACCAACAUGCUCCUCUGAAACCAAACCUUUUCUUGAGGUUUAAUUGAACAUAUUGGUACAUUAUGCAGACACGUAAAUACACUGUGAUAUCAUACAAUAUAAACACAAUUCAAUUAUAAGAUCAGCCUAACUACAUGGACAGAUGUUUGGUGUCUUGUAGUAUUUCUUCAACUUAGAGAAAAUAAUCCUUUAUUGUUUAUUCAUAAAGAUCAUGAUCCCACCCUGGACCAGGAGGACCCAGUCCUUGUUCAGUUUGUGGAUGAGGAGGUUGGGCAGCGGCCCUGUCUGGCUUUAGUCCCUUGGUCUGGACCUCUGUGGGUUCCCAGCUCUCUGACUUAUUACCUUACCCUUGCUGGGAGGAUGUUAGUGAGAGAGCUGGCAGUGUUAAACACACAGCCAAAUAGUGAAGACUCUGGUUUUCCCUAUGAGAAGAUGCAGCUGGUUGGGAACUGGGGUUCAUUUCAUUUCCAUACCUGGAUAAUCCGUUAUGGACGAGUGCAGCAAAAUGAAGAGGACAUGCAUCACCUGUGCAUUGUGAGGGGAGUGGAGAAACAGCUGUGGUGGAGCAGAGUCAUUCAGGAAAAAAUCAUGGACCCAUGGGGUAUUGUCCAGGUGGUCCUCACCAACAAGGAGGUGACUGGUAUUAAGUUCCUUGGUAGAAGGAUCCAUGGACUCAGGUCUUGCCUCGUCAAGAGGAGGUUAGAGUUCACCUAUUAUGAGGACGCCCAGCAGGUGGAUAUCUCCACCACAGUGGAGGGGUUCCAGGAGAGGGGGGAUGACAUGAUGGCGUAUCAGUUCUCUACCUCUGACAUUAUCACCAUCCCUCAUGAGCCGUCCUCUGGCUCCUCUCACCAGUUCCCCCAGGAUUCUCCACCUCCCCCUCCGCCUCCCCCAUUCCCUUCCGAUUCCCCUCCACCUUACCACUUCACCCAGGACCAGGCCCAGGACCAGACCCCUGACAGCACUCCUCAGGAGUUUGUGGAGGAGCAACAUAAUGUUGCAGAUGUGCCCCAGCUGUGGAGUUACUUUGGAAACCAAGGGACAACCAACUUCUCUCUGAGGCUGGCCUGUAUCCGACGUGCUAUGGAGGCUCUGACAUCCUCAGACAGUUCCUCCCUUAAUUACCUCACCCACGCUGGGAGGAUGGUGUUGAGUGGACUGUCCAAGCUCAACCAGCAGGAUGUGAGGCAGUUUCAGCAGGCCUAUGACAUCCUGGUGAACUUCAUUAAUGAGCCAGCAAACAGGGAGCGACUAGAGCUGGAGAUGGCUCUUGUAGGAAUCAACCACAUCAACUUCACGGAUGUAUUUUAUGAAUUCGUUCUACUAAGCCUUCUAGAAGGAAAAACAUCUCUUCCAACAUCUAGGCCUGGUACCUUCUUUUAUCUGCUCAUGGAAGUGAUCAUGAGGAUUCGCCCUCCUGGAGGAGCCUGGACAGAGUCUGCUGGGAACUUCUACCUCCUCAUUAAGGAUCAGAUGAAGGCGUGGUUGGACUCCAUCUUCAACCUUGAUGAGUCCAUCUAUGAAAGCCCACAGAGGCUCUCGUGGCAGGUGAUGGUGAAUCUAGAAAUGCAGGUUGACUUCCUCCUGUCCAGCCUGGAUUAAGGGUCCCAAACUGAGCUGAGGAUCCCAAACAUAAAAUAAAAGUAUUUUGCAUUUAAACAUUACCUUUCAAUCUGAAACUAAUUUUACAUCAUGUCAAAACAAAUCAAAUCAAAUUUUAUUGGUCACAAACACAUGGUUAGCAGAUGUUAAUGCGAGUGUAGCGAAAUGCUUGUGCUUCUAGUUCCGACCGUGCAGGAAAAUCUAACACGUAAUCUAACAAUUUCAA